This 1458-nucleotide ribosomal RNA is filed under the name human gut metagenome. RNAcentral describes it as "bacterial LSU rRNA". It matches the Rfam family "Bacterial large subunit ribosomal RNA", at positions 1397 to 2925 of the family's 2925-position model. The record is from RNAcentral.
CGAGGCCGAAAGGCGUAGUCGAUGCACAUACGGUUGAAAUUCCGUAGCCACCGAACCUUAAGUACACUGACACAUGGAGAUAGCGGGACCCGGGCGUUGGUUGACCCGGGCGUAAGGGACCGAACUUUAGUAGGGAAGUCCGCGAUGCUCUGUGGCGAGAAAAGGUGUAUGGUAUGCUAAGGUGCCCGUACCGCAAACCGACACAGGUAGAUGAGGAGAGAAUCCUAAGGCCAACGGGAGAAGGGUUGUUAAGGAACUCGGCAAAAUGACCCCGUAACUUCGGGAUAAGGGGAGCCUCCUACGGGAGGCCGCAGCGAAUAGGCCCAAGCGACUGUUUACCAAAAACACAGGUCUCUGCUAAAUCGAAAGAUGACGUAUAGGGGCUGACGCCUGCCCGGUGCUGGAAGGUUAAGAGGAGAUGUUAGCCGCAAGGCGAAGCAUUGAAUCGAAGCCCCAGUAAACGGCGGCCGUAACUAUAACGGUCCUAAGGUAGCGAAAUUCCUUGUCAGGUAAGUUCUGACCCGCACGAAUGGCGUAACGACUUGGGCGCUGUCUCAACAGCCCACCCGGCGAAAUUGUUGUACUGGUGAAGAAGCCAGUUACCCGCAACUAGACGGAAAGACCCCAUGGAGCUUUACUGUAGCUUAAUACUGGAAAUCGGUAAAUCAUGUACAGGAUAGGUGGGAGACUUGGAAGCCAGGGCGUCAGCUUUGGUGGAGUCACCCUUGGGAUACCACCCUUGAUUUGCUGGUUUUCUAACCUGCGGCCGUGAAUCCGGUCGGGGGACACUGUUAGGUGGGCAGUUUGACUGGGGCGGUCGCCUCCUAAAAGGUAACGGAGGCGCUCAAAGGUUCGUUCAGCACGGACGGAAACCGUGCAGUGAGUGUAAACGCAUAAACGAGCCUAACUGCGAGACCGACGGGUCGAGCAGUAACGAAAGUUGGAGUUAGUGAUCCGGCGGUAUGCAAGUGGAAGUGCCGUCGCUCAACGGAUAAAAGCUACCCUGGGGAUAACAGGCUGAUCUCCCCCAAGAGUCCACAUCGACGGGGAGGUUUGGCACCUCGAUGUCGGCUCAUCGCAUCCUGGGGCUGUAGUAGGUCCCAAGGGUUGGGCUGUUCGCCCAUUAAAGCGGUACGCGAGCUGGGUUCAGAACGUCGUGAGACAGUUCGGUCCCUAUCUGUUGCGGGCGUAAGAGAUUUGAAGGGAGCUGUCCUUAGUACGAGAGGACCGGGAUGGACGUACCUCUGGUGCACCAGUUGUCCUGCCAAGGGCAUAGCUGGGUAGCUAUGUACGGACGAGAUAAACGCUGAAGGCAUCUAAGCGUGAAACUCCCCCUAAGAUUAGAUCUCUCAUUCGAAAGAAGUAAGGCACGACGUAGACUAUGUCGUUGAUAGGCCGGAGGUGGAAGCACGGUAACGUGUGCAGCUGACCGGUACUAAUAAGCCGAGGGCUUGACCU